RNAcentral lists this small nuclear RNA (107 nucleotides) under Prolemur simus (greater bamboo lemur). Lineage: Eukaryota; Metazoa; Chordata; Mammalia; Primates; Lemuridae. The record is from RNAcentral.
GCGUUUGCUUCGGCAGCUCGUAUACCAAAAUUAGAGCAAUACAGAGAAGAUUAGCAUGGCCCCUGCACAAGGACGACAUGCAAAUUCAUGAAGCGUUCCAUAUUUUU